AAGGUGGGGCGGUUUGUCGCGCUGCGAGGGUUUCGGCCCAAGGGUGAGGAAAGUCCGGACAGGAUAGGGCGCCCUGCUGGGGAAAGCUCAGAUGGGAGUAAUCUUAUGGAUGCCGUAACAGAAAACUACCGCCUUGAAAGCCAUCAGGUUCUCGGCCUUAGGGCCAUAACUGACUGGCUUCGGGCAAGGGUGAAAACGUGAGGCAAGAGCUCACGACAUGUGGCGGUGACGUCGCAUGGGUACGGCACCAGGGCCUGCAAAACCAAAUAUACUGGCAGACGAGGGCUGCCCGCCCGAUGCCAGGGGGUAGGUCGCGAAGAUAAAUGACAGACUAAAACAGAAACCGGCUUACGGCCCCGCCUUUUUC
This 367-nucleotide RNase P RNA is filed under the name Bacteroidales bacterium. Its description in RNAcentral is "RNase P RNA component class A". It matches the Rfam family "Bacterial RNase P class A". Rfam says of the family: Ribonuclease P (RNase P) is a ubiquitous endoribonuclease, found in archaea, bacteria and eukarya as well as chloroplasts and mitochondria. Its best characterised activity is the generation of mature 5'-ends of tRNAs by cleaving the 5'-leader elements of precursor-tRNAs. The record is from RNAcentral. RNAcentral also lists the same sequence under 1 other name. Lineage: Bacteria; Pseudomonadati; Bacteroidota; Bacteroidia; Bacteroidales.